RNAcentral lists this unclassified non-coding RNA (408 nucleotides) under Artemisia glacialis. RNAcentral's name for it is "partial external transcribed spacer". The record is from RNAcentral. Lineage: Eukaryota; Viridiplantae; Streptophyta; Magnoliopsida; Asterales; Asteraceae.
UCGUAAAGGUGGAUGAGUGGUGUUUGGUUUGUUACGUGUGGUUGGCUGCGGCGUUUGCAACAACUUCCAUGCUUUCAGACCUCUUCAGUUGUGUGGCAAGGCUUGUAUCGCCUUGAGCGUACUGUGGGUUUUCUGUGUUGGCUACCUAAUCAAUGGUAUCGGUUGGAUUGAUCAAAGUUUGAUUUCGUUUUCCGUCGCAUUCGCGGCGUGAGGUGAACCUCGAUGCUGUCUCUUUGAUCCACCUCGUUGUAGCACGUGCUUUGACGUUGUGGCACAUUGAGCAUUGCUUGGUCUCUUGUAUACGGAACAUAUAGUGGGCAUGGAUCUAACGAUCCUCGUUUGCCCUCAUAUUAGCGUAACGCUUCUCUAACACGACUUGCGCCAUGUUUUAGCUCGUACGGAUGUGGC